This 693-nucleotide ribosomal RNA is filed under the name Triticum aestivum (bread wheat). RNAcentral's name for it is "partial small subunit ribosomal RNA". The record is from RNAcentral. Lineage: Eukaryota; Viridiplantae; Streptophyta; Magnoliopsida; Poales; Poaceae.
AUGGACAGCAUCGCCGCCGCCGCCGGCAACUGCCGCUGCAGCCGCGUCGUCUACGUCGGCAACAUCCCCUUCAAAGCCGAGGAGAAGGAGGUCCGCGACGCCUGCGAGCUCAUCGGCCCCGCCCUCUCCUUCAACCUCGCCGCCGACGCCGACACGGGGAAGCGCAAGGGCUACGCCUUCGUCGAGUACGCUGACGACGCCACGGCGCAGAGCGCGUGCCGCAACAUGCACGGCCACCGGCUGCUCGACCGCGAGCUGCGGGUCGGCCUCGCCGAAAGGGCCGGCGCGGCGCGCCGGAGGCGCCGGGGAGACCACGAGCCCGUCGGGAUGGAGGACGCCAUCCACGCCGCAUCCCUCGUCAACGACCGCGGGCGCCUCGCCGUCGUGUCCUCCGUCACGCGGCACCUGGCGGGCGCGUCCAGGCACGAGCUGCGGGAAGCUUUGGACACGUUCAAGAACUGCGGCCCCGAGAACUGCAAGGUACUCACGGAGUACGUCCCAGGGCUGGACAUCGCCAUGGAGAUGGUGCAGCGCCUGCUCGACAUGGCUGCAGCGGACGAUGCUGCCGGCGAGGCAAAGAGGAAGAAGCGGGCGAGCGCCUGUCCGCCGCCGGACGAUCACGGCGCCAAACUGAUGAAGCUCGAAGACGGCGGGAAGGCUACGCCGGUGUUCGCUGGAGUUGCCUGCGUCUGA